CUGGCGGCGUGCCUAAUACAUGCAAGUCGAACGGUCUUUUCUAUGGAAGCUUGCUUCCACUGAGAAGAUAGUGGCGAACGGGUGAGUAACACGUGGGUAACCUGCCCAUAAGAGGGGGAUAACAUCCGGAAACGGGUGCUAAUACCGCAUAGUUUUCUUGAUCGCAUGAUCGGGAAAGGAAAGACGGCCUUUGUGCUGUCGCUUAUGGAUGGACCCGCGGCGUAUUAGUUAGUUGGUGAGGUAACGGCUCACCAAGACGAUGAUACGUAGCCGACCUGAGAGGGUGAUCGGCCACAUUGGGACUGAGACACGGCCCAAACUCCUACGGGAGGCAGCAGUAGGGAAUCUUCCGCAAUGGACGAAAGUCUGACGGAGCAACGCCGCGUGAGUGAAGAAAGGUUUUCGGAUCGUAAAACUCUGUUGUCAGAGAAGAAUAAGUUGGAGAGUAACUGCUCCAGCCUUGACGGUAUCUGACCAGAAAGCCACGGCUAACUACGUGCCAGCCGCCGC
This 510-nucleotide ribosomal RNA is filed under the name uncultured bacterium. Its description in RNAcentral is "bacterial SSU rRNA". It matches the Rfam family "Bacterial small subunit ribosomal RNA", at positions 36 to 518 of the family's 1533-position model. The record is from RNAcentral.